UCGCUCCUCGUCGUCGACUUUCCGUGCCGGUUCUCUCUCUCCGUCUGUCGCACCGACCUCUGUGUCGCCGCACUUGCGCCGCGGCGAGUGGAGGGCAAAGUGGGCGUAGGUAGCUAGAUGCGGCUAGGUAGCCACGGCUCAAAGAGAAGCGCGCCGACCGCCGGAGAAACGGUGGCGGCCGGUGGUGGAAAGGGCACACACGUGAAGAGCACCGCCGCGCGGCACGGCCACGGCGAAAAGAUCCGUGGCUCGACCGAGGGGAGGCCGCCGCGUCAUCGUCACCGAUGCCAGGUUCUGCCGCGAGUUCCCGCGCGCGCCAAAGAGUAAUUUCGUUAAUGAGAAUCGUUAGGGCACCGGGGUAUGGCGCCGAGGAUUUUCACAGUGGCGCCCCGUUUAAUCUUCGCCGCGAUCCACGGAAACGGUCACCGACGCGCCGCCCUUGGUUUCCACGCUGCUCGUUCGUUGGCUAAUGCGGGGUCAAGCGCUGUUCGAACGCGGCCGAAACCGUGGUUAUGGAACCACCGAUACGGAUCGGAGAAACGUUAUUGGAAUACAAUUGCGCCGAACAAGCUGCUGUGUUUCGAUAUCUUGUUGUAACCUUUCCAGUUGUGCCGACGAGAGAAAUGUUUGGAGGUUGGAAUUGAAACUGGGCAGAUCCGAGAAUAUUAAGUCGCGGAUUCUUCGAGCCUCGCGGCACGUUUUUUAUGGAAACUCGAGGCAGUUGAUAAGAAAGGACAGCGCCCAGCAUGCCGGUGUACGUUGAUAUGAAUUAUAUACAUAGUGAUGCUGGAAUAAUAACGGUGGUAAAAGGGCCAGACUAUUACGUAAUGACUAAAAUACUUCUCUCUAAUUUUGCUAUUACUUGGGAUGAUAAAAAAAAGAAAUAAAAAGCUCAAGAUUUCGAACUUUCUCGUAAGAGCCUAUAAGGAAAGUUUGGACAAAUGCGUUUUGCAAAUCUCGGUGACUUCUAUGCGUACCGAACGUUUUUGUCGAAAUCGAAUAUUUUUUUUGAAGAAGUAUACCUCGCGAUGCUAUCGACGAAAAACUUCUUCGACAACCAUUCAACGAUGAAAUCAGAACGACGGGAAAGCACCCAAUCCGAAUCGAAUUUAAUAAUAAUAAUAAUAAUAUAUUAUAUAAUUAAUUCAACGCACUUUCCGCGGGGAGUUAUCGUAAAAGCGACUAACUGCUCGUUAGAAUUGCUCGACGUGGGAAUCUCUUAGAACCCAAGCUCGGAUGUUGAAGCCGCGUUGUUCUAUUCGCACGGACCGAUUCAAACGGAAUCAGCUUGAAUCGAUGGCCUCGCACAGGGUGGCGCACGACGGUUUCCACGCACGCGAAUACACUACACGGCGGCUGGUAUUAAACGCCGCGGAAAGCUAUUAAAAUCGUGAAAGUCUAAGGAGGUACUCACUGUGGAACCUUGUCCCUCUCGUCGACAGGAUCUGAUGCAGUCGCUGGAGAGUGUCUUUGGUGGCUUCCUCGUGCUUGUUACGCGCCCUCUCCUGCAAUCUCACCUCCAUGUCCGCGGAGCAACAGACCUCUCCGCCGCUCCUCACGCUGCCGCAUAUUUUCAGUUCCUUUGCUGGAAAAACGAAUGGAAAACGAGAUUAAAACGAGCUCGACGCUCGGCGCCCGCUUCGGUUCUCUCCGCUUCGCUACCUCGCGAGGGAAAAAUCAACCUUUGAACGUUUCCACGGCCGAGAACCUCAACGAUCUCCUCCUCCUCCUCCUCGCGUUUUCUUCUCUUUCCUUGGGACAAGUAUAAUACCAACUUUCUUCCCCCACCCCUCCACCCUCGCCGCCGCGAUGCGGUUUUUUUUGCUGCUCUCGUCGUUAAGUCGCUUCUCCUUAUUGUUGCGUUGCUUUGCGCUCGAAUGGGAAAUGCGGCUAUUGAUUAUCGACGGUAUUAUCGAUAAUAAUAAUGAACAGAUGAUAAAUCGCUAUAGUAAUAAUAGCGUUUACGCGUUCUACGAAUUUUUAGUAGAAUAGGAGAUCGUAUCCCACGAAACAUUUUUCUCCGUUAACAGAAAUAAUAUGACGAAAUAUUUUGGUGCAUGUAAAUGCAACGAGAGAAGCGAUUUAACAAAUUCGUUAUUAAUAUUAUAACUGUCGCAAUUAACACGCUGGAAGAAAUGGAUAAAAACAUAUAAGAACUGAAA
Molecule: non-coding RNA, 2162 nt
Organism: Megalopta genalis
Lineage: Eukaryota; Metazoa; Arthropoda; Insecta; Hymenoptera; Halictidae
Source: RefSeq, a predicted model, not a curated record